AUGUUGGUGAUGAACAAGUUCUCAAAUCUGCAUGCGGAAAACUUUCACUGGCCCAACUCGGCAAAUAUCGCCCUCAUCCCUAAGAAAGAUGGCGCCGAAGACAUCUCAGACUUCAGACCAAUGAGCCUGAUACAUGCCGUUGCAAAGCUCAUUGCCAAAAUCCUUGCAACAGUGUAUGUAUAA
RNAcentral lists this ribosomal RNA (183 nucleotides) under Triticum aestivum (bread wheat). Its description in RNAcentral is "partial small subunit ribosomal RNA". Lineage: Eukaryota; Viridiplantae; Streptophyta; Magnoliopsida; Poales; Poaceae. The record is from RNAcentral.